UCUUCCCUCUCUCUUCGUGCCUCCUCCCUGCACGUCGAGCGCACGGACGAGAAGCUUGCUUCUCUGAUGUUAGCGGCGGACGGGUGAGUAACACGUGGAUAACCUACCUAUAAGACUGGGAUAACUUCGGGAAACCGGAGCUAAUACCGGAUAAUAUUUUGAACCGCAUGAUUCAAAAGUGAAAGACGGUCUUGCUGUCACUUAUAGAUGGAUCCGCGCUGCAUUAGCUGGUUGGUAAGGUAACGGCUUACAAAGGCAACGAUGCAUAGCCGACCUGAGAGGGUAGUCGUCCACACUGGAACUGAAACACGGUCCAGACUCCUACGGGAGGCAGCAGUAGGGAAACUUCCGCAAUGGGCGAAAGCCUGACGGGGCAACGCCGCGUGAGUGAUGAAGGUCUUCGGAUCGUAAAACUCUGUGAUUAGGGAAGAACAUAUGUGUAAGUAACUGUGCACAUCUUGACGGUACCUAAUCAGAAAGCCACGGCUAACUACGUG
RNAcentral lists this ribosomal RNA (497 nucleotides) under uncultured bacterium. RNAcentral's name for it is "partial 16S ribosomal RNA". It matches the Rfam family "Bacterial small subunit ribosomal RNA", at positions 36 to 507 of the family's 1533-position model. The record is from RNAcentral.